This 516-nucleotide long non-coding RNA is filed under the name Durio zibethinus. RNAcentral's name for it is "long non-coding RNA (DZIB_LNC001915)". Lineage: Eukaryota; Viridiplantae; Streptophyta; Magnoliopsida; Malvales; Malvaceae. The record is from RNAcentral.
CACUCUUGAAUUAAAUUUAGUACUUUGUAAACUUUUAUUUUAAAAAUAGAAAUAUUUUUGUUUGUCUAAAUUUAUGUCAGGAUUCCAUUUUAGGAAGACUCCAAAUUAGCAUGUUAAAAGUGAAAAUGCUGCUCCUCUCUUUCUCUAUUCUCUCCUCCAACCAUAUAUAUAUUCACAUGAUCUCUCUCCGAUUCGUAUCUUCUUUUGCCAAAAUCAUUCUUAUAAGCACGCACUUAUCGUUAAUUAUUGUCAUAAGAGAUAAUGACACUUACAUUUCUAUCCUUCAUAAUAAUUUAGUAGGAGGGCCAUUAGAUAUUAAUUCUUUCCAUUUAAUAUAUUUAUUUAUAAAAAAAGAUGUUUAGAGACCUAUAAAGAAAGCAAAAAAUAUUGGUGGGAUCUUUGUGCGAUCUUGCUAACAUAAUUUGGUUGUUAGUAAAAUAUGAGAUCACAAUCUGCUGUGCCUAUUAGCCUUUCAUUAAAUUUUUUCAUAAGCUAGGUCUUAAGUCAAAGUAAUUU